UGGGGAAUAUUGCACAAUGGGCGCAAGCCUGAUGCAGCCAUGCCGCGUGUGUGAAGAAGGCCUUCGGGUUGUAAAGCACUUUCAGCGAGGAGGAAGGUGGUGAGCUUAAUACGCUCAUCAAUUGACGUUACUCGCAGAAGAAGCACCGGCUAACUCCGUGCCAGCAGCCGCGGUAAUACGGAGGGUGCAAGCGUUAAUCGGAAUUACUGGGCGUAAAGCGCACGCAGGCGGUUUGUUAAGUCAGAUGUGAAAUCCCCGGGCUCAACCUGGGAACUGCAUUUGAAAACUGGCAAGCUAGAGUCUCGUAGAGGGGGGUAGAAUUCCAGGUGUAGCGGUGAAAUGCGUAGAGAUCUGGAGGAAUACCGGUGGCGAAGGCGGCCCCCCUGGACGAAGACUGACGCUCAGGUGCGAAAAGCGUGGGGCAGCAAACAGGAUUAGAUACCCCUGGUAGUCCAGCGCUGUAAAACGAUGUCGAUUUUGGAGGUUGUGCCCUUGAGGCGUGGCUUCCGGAGCUAACGCGUUAAAUCGACCGCCUGGGGAGUACGGCCGCAA
This 552-nucleotide ribosomal RNA is filed under the name uncultured bacterium. RNAcentral's name for it is "partial 16S ribosomal RNA". It matches the Rfam family "Bacterial small subunit ribosomal RNA", at positions 355 to 891 of the family's 1533-position model. The record is from RNAcentral.